GUGGGGAAUAUUGCACAAUGGGCGCAAGCCUGAUGCAGCAACGCCGCGUGAGGGAAGACGGUCUUCGGAUUGUAAACCUCUGUCCUUGGUGACGAAACAAAUGACGGUAGCCGAGGAGGAAGCCACGGCUAACUACGUGCCAGCAGCCGCGGUAAUACGUAGGUGGCAAGCGUUGUCCGGAUUUACUGGGUGUAAAGGGAGCGCAGGCGGGGAAGCAAGUCAGUUGUGAAAACUAUGGGCUUAACUCAUAGAUUGCAGUUGAAACUGUUUCUCUUGAGUGGAGUAGAGGUAAGCGGAAUUCCGAGUGUAACGGUGAAAUGUGUAGAGAUUCGGAGGAACACCAGUGGCGAAGGCGGCUUACUGGGCUCUAACUGACGCUGAGGCUCGAAAGUGUGGGGAGCAAACAGG
RNAcentral lists this ribosomal RNA (408 nucleotides) under uncultured rumen bacterium. Its description in RNAcentral is "bacterial SSU rRNA". It matches the Rfam family "Bacterial small subunit ribosomal RNA", at positions 354 to 776 of the family's 1533-position model. The record is from RNAcentral.